This 207-nucleotide ribosomal RNA is filed under the name uncultured bacterium. Its description in RNAcentral is "partial 16S ribosomal RNA". It matches the Rfam family "Bacterial small subunit ribosomal RNA", at positions 568 to 774 of the family's 1533-position model. The record is from RNAcentral.
CGCGUAGGCGGCGGGAUAAGUCAGAUGUGAAAGCCCCGGGCUCAACCUGGGAAUUGCAUUUGAUACUGUCUGGCUAGAGUCUGGUAGAGGGGGGUGGAAUUCCAGGUGUAGCGGUGAAAUGCGUAGAGAUCUGGAGGAACACCAGUGGCGAAGGCGACCCCCUGGACCAAGACUGACGCUGAGGUGCGAAAGCGUGGGGAGCAAACA